ACCACUUAAAAGAAGGUGUAUAUAUGCUAUAUAAUAUAUUUCAAUUAUAUGGUUUUGAGUUUUAAAGUUGCAUGGCUUGGUUAAAGUAGCAGGGGUCAAAGCUCAUAUGCAGCCAUGCGGCUGUGGUCAUGCUGGAGCACUACCAUGGAAAAAAUAAUUGCUGCGGUCAUUGGAUUGCGGCCAUGCUAGAGCACUGCCUUGAAAAAUUUUAGUUGAACACACAGACCAUUGAACACAAUUUUUUUAAAGCCUGGUACUUAUUCUAUCAGUCUCUUUUGCUGAACUGCCAAGUUACGGGUAGGUAUAUAUACCAACAAUGAUUGUCAAGUGGUGGGGACAAACAUAGACACAAAGACAUAAACACACACACACACACACAAUGGACUUCCUUCAGUUUCUAUCUACUAAAUCCACUCUGGUUGGCCUAAGGCUAUAGAAGAAAUCACUUGCCUAUGGUGCCACACAGUGAAACUGGUUGGGAAGCAAGCUUCUUACCAUACAGUCACAAAAAUACACAGCAACAUUGGGCAUCCUUUUAUAUGUAUUUUUUGCAAAUAUAAACAUUUAUACUAAUAUUCACUGAAAAUAUUUCCUUUGAAUACUUUGAUAUGAAUCUAAUUGGUACCUCACUGCCACCACCACCACCAUCAUCAUUUCAAUGCCUGCUUUCCAUGCUUGAAUAGGUCAAACAAAAUUUGUGUCAAGCAGAUUAAGUCUGGCCUGAUAUAUACCAACCUCAUCACCGACCCUUCAUCUGUUUGCAAGCAAGGGAGCAUUUCCUCAUGACCAGACAUUUUUACAGAAGACCAGAAAUGAAAGACUCUGCCUGUAUGUCCAUUUAUAACUAUCCUGCAACCUUAAGACAAGGUGACACAAACACACAGAUACAUACAUAUUUAGUUUCUGUGUACGGAAUUCACUCACAAAGGUUUGGUUGGCCCAGGGCUAUAAUGAAAGCCAGUUGCCCAAAGAACCACACAGUGGGAUUGAACCUCAAACCAACUGGUUGGGAAGCGAACUUCUUAACCAUACGGCCAUCCCUGCCAAAUUACUAUAUAUAUGGCUUAUAUGAUCUAAACAUAGAGGAAUUUUCCUUAAACUUAGGAAAAAAUUUCAAUAUUGAAUUUAAGUAUAUAACAACAAAACAUCUAAAUAACUGACAAUAUUUGGUAUUUUUUAUUAACUGUUUUUCUUUUAAAUAUCAAAAUGAGAUAUAUUUAAGUUUAAAUCAUAAAAAUAAACAAAAUAAUACGUCAUACACACAUACAAAUAUACAUACGUACAUACAUAAUACAUGCAUACAUACAUAUAUACUUGCAUGCAUACACACACAAACAUGCAUACACACACAAAUAUGCAUACAUAUAUACAGAUAUCCAACAGAAAAUGAAUUAACAGUGGAACUGCUUGUUAGAGAACAAUUUUAAGACAAUUGUUUGUUUUUUUUUGUAAAAAGAUAAAAUACAUUGAUACAAAUUUCAACAAAUCCUUCUUUUAAUUCUGCUGAAGAGUGUUUAAAAUAAAGCUUAUUUGUAAUAAACAUGGCAAUUACUGACUCAAAUGAAGGAUUUGAAGAAAUAACAAUCAAUAUUAAAUUCCAAGAAAGGAAAUUAAAAAUGUCCAAGGAAAUUAUAAGACUGUUAUUGUGAAUGUGUGUGUGUGUGUGUGUGUGUGUGUGUGAGAUAGGUAAUG
This is a long non-coding RNA of Octopus bimaculoides (California two-spot octopus), 1692 nucleotides long. RefSeq lists it as uncharacterized. The record is from RefSeq and is a predicted model, not a curated record. Lineage: Eukaryota; Metazoa; Mollusca; Cephalopoda; Octopoda; Octopodidae.